RNAcentral lists this ribosomal RNA (459 nucleotides) under uncultured bacterium. RNAcentral's name for it is "partial 16S ribosomal RNA". It matches the Rfam family "Bacterial small subunit ribosomal RNA", at positions 338 to 795 of the family's 1533-position model. The record is from RNAcentral.
CCUACGAGCGGCAGCAGUGAGGAAUAUUGGUCAAUGGGCGAAAGCCUGAACCAGCCACGUCGCGUGCGGGAUGACGGCCCUACGGGUCGUAAACCUCUUUUGCACGGGGAUCAAACCCUCCACUUGUCGCGGUCUGCAGGUAUCGUGCGAAUAAGGGUCGGCUAAUUCCGUGCCAGCAGCCGCGGUAAUACGGAAGCUCCGAGGUUUAUCCGGAUUCAUUGGGCUUAAGGGGUGCGUAGGCGGUCGGUCAAGACAGCGGUAACAUCGCGGGGUUAAACCGCGUCGCGCCGUUGAAACUGGAAGCCUUGAGUUCACAAGAGGUAGGCGGAAUGCGCGGUGUAGCGGUGAAAUGCAUAGAUAUCACGAGGAACCCCGAUUGCGAAGGCAGCGUACCGGGGCGCGACUGACGCUGAGGCUCGAAAGUGUGGGGAUCAAACAGGAUUAGAUACCCUGGUAGUC